This 1069-nucleotide ribosomal RNA is filed under the name Anisakis sp. SAN-2004. RNAcentral's name for it is "LSU rRNA". It matches the Rfam family "Eukaryotic large subunit ribosomal RNA", at positions 69 to 944 of the family's 3401-position model. The record is from RNAcentral. Lineage: Eukaryota; Metazoa; Nematoda; Chromadorea; Rhabditida; Anisakidae.
CGAGGAUUCCCAUAGUAACGGCGAGUGAAAUGGGAAAAGCCCAGCGCUGAAUCCAUCGAUCACUGGUCGCUUGGAAUUGUAGCGUAUAGGUGCGGCUGUCCGCUCGUUUCGUGCACCCAAAGUCCCCUUGAGCGGGGCCAUAGUCCAAAGAAGGUGCUAGACCUGUACGGGUGGCGAGACGGUCGGUUGGUCGCUCCUUGGAGUCGGGUUGCCUGGGAUCGCAGCCCAAAGUUGGUGGUAGACCUCAUCUAAGGCUAAAUAUGGCCACGAAACCGAUAGCAAACAAGUACCGUGAGGGAAAGUUGCAAAGAACUUUGAAGAGAGAGUUCAAGAGGGCGUGAAACCGCCGAGAUUGAAACGGAUAGAGUUGACGAAACUCGAUCGCAUUCAUCCGAUCCGCCUAGCGGUUCGGCGGUUGUUGACUUCCUCGAUGAGGGCAACGCCGUCGCUGGCUGUUGGGUGUUAGAUGGGUGUAUUUGCGGUCGGUAUGCGCCGAGAGCUUUGCGAACGCAUGUUGGCGUUGAUGUAGUGGACCACUCCCUCCGGGCGUGGAACCCUGCACUGACYGAGGCAUGUCGUUUGUAGGGUGUUGCUGGUUGACGUCUCCGCUAUGGUGCGUCGGCUUUGUCGGACUGUUGUGGCUACUGGGUGAUCGCAUGCGAGCGCCUGUGGUUUAUGAUCGUACGAUGAGGUGCAGACGCGCUUGAGACGUGCAUCUCGGUGUGAACGUUGACCACCUAUCCGACCCGUCUUGAAACACGGACCAAGGAGUCUAGCAUAUGCGCGAGUCAUUGGGUGGUAAACCUAAAGGCGUAAUGAAAGUAAAGGCUGUCUUGUUACGGCUGAUAUGGGAUCUGUGUGGCUUUCGAGCCAUACGGCGCACCAUAGCCCCGUCCCGGUUGCUUGCAAUGGGGCGGAGGUAGAGCGCAUACGCUGGGACCCGAAAGAUGGUGAACUAUGCCUGAGCAGGAUGAAGCCAGAGGAAACUCUGGUGGAAGUCCGAAGCGGUUCUGACGUGCAAAUCGAUCGUCUGACUUGGGUAUAGGGGCGAAAGACUAAUCGAACCAUC